RNAcentral lists this ribosomal RNA (187 nucleotides) under uncultured bacterium. RNAcentral describes it as "partial 16S ribosomal RNA". It matches the Rfam family "Bacterial small subunit ribosomal RNA", at positions 1314 to 1500 of the family's 1533-position model. The record is from RNAcentral.
GCCUUCAUGAAGCUGGAAUUGCUAGUAAUGGCAGGUCAGCAUACUGCCGUGAAUACGUUCCCGGGCCUUGUACACACCGCCCGUCACACCAUGAGAGUUGGGAAUACCCGAAGCCUGUGAGCUAACUGCAAGGAGGCAGCAGUCGAAGGUAGAAUCAAUGAUUGGGGUGAAGUCGUAACAAGGUAAC